Molecule: ribosomal RNA, 253 nt
Filed under: uncultured bacterium
Lineage: Bacteria
Description: partial 16S ribosomal RNA
Rfam family: Bacterial small subunit ribosomal RNA
Source: RNAcentral
UACGAAGGGGGCUAGCGUUGCUCGGAAUCACUGGGCGUAAAGGGUGCGUAGGCGGGUCUUUAAGUCAGGGGUGAAAUCCUGGAGCUCAACUCCAGAACUGCCUUUGAUACUGAGGAUCUUGAGUUCGGGAGAGGUGAGUGGAACUGCGAGUGUAGAGGUGAAAUUCGUAGAUAUUCGCAAGAACACCAGUGGCGAAGGCGGCUCACUGGCCCGAUACUGACGCUCAUGCGCGAAAGCGUGGGGAGCAAACAGG